AUUGAACGCUAGCGGGAUGCUUUACACAUGCCAGUCGAACGGCAGCGCGGACUUCGGUCUGGCGGCGAGUGGCGAACGGGUGAGUAAUGUAUCGGAACGUGCCCAGUAGCGGGGGAUAACUACGCGAAAGCGUAGCUAAUACCGCAUACGCCCUACGGGGGAAAGCAGGGGAUCGUAAGACCUUGCACUAUUGGAGCGGCCGAUAUCGGAUUAGCUAGUUGGUGAGGUAACGGCUCGCCAAGGCGACGAUCCGUAGCUGGUUUGAGAGGACGACCAGCCACACUGGGACUGAGACACGGCCCAGACUCCUACGGGAGGCAGCAGUGGGGAAUUUUGGACAAUGGGGGCAACCCUGAUCCAGCCAUCCCGCGUGUGCGAUGAAGGCCUUCGGGUUGUAAAGCACUUUUGGCAGGAAAGAAACGUCGCGGGCUAAUACCCCGUGGAACUGACGGUACCUGCAGAAUAAGCACCGGCUAACUACGUG
This 484-nucleotide ribosomal RNA is filed under the name uncultured bacterium. RNAcentral describes it as "partial 16S ribosomal RNA". It matches the Rfam family "Bacterial small subunit ribosomal RNA", at positions 30 to 507 of the family's 1533-position model. The record is from RNAcentral.